Molecule: long non-coding RNA, 2228 nt
Organism: Prunus persica (peach)
Lineage: Eukaryota; Viridiplantae; Streptophyta; Magnoliopsida; Rosales; Rosaceae
Exons: 2
Source: RefSeq, a predicted model, not a curated record
UUCCCUUUUUUGCCCUCUCUUUCCUUCGGAUGUAACUAGCGGCUGUUUCUUCUUGAGAGGCGUCUGGUUCGAUUUCGACUGGCUGGUUGGAGAGUUUCAGGGGUAAAGAUGGGAGAGCUGGGUUGGUUCUUCGAUGUCUGCAUCUGGAGGCUUCAACUGUUUUACAUAGCUUGCUACCAUAAAGAAGCUGAUGUGGUUUGCUUAAAAUGCUCUCCACUUAGCCUCUUCUUCUCUUCCCUAUUUGCCCAGCCAUACGUACUCUUCUGUUGCAAAUGUUUCAUCGUUUCUACAGCAAAACACCACCAAUUUAAUAAUUGGAAAUUUUGAAUUAGAGAUUUGUCCCUUGCAUCGUUUGUCUUCAGCUGUUGUGAUCCUGCUUUUGUGUGGCUGUUUUUCAAAGUGCUUGAUAGCUUCUUUGACUACAGGUUAGUGUUUCAUCCAUUUUUCAAAAGACUGCAUGCAUGGUGGCUGUAGCUUAUUGAUUGCCAAAUAUUAUGACAAUUGAAAAUUCUCAUUUCUGUGGUUCUGUCAAUAUCACGGUGCAUUUGCUUUGCUUAAUUACAGUUUAGGUGUGAUUGAUAAUUUAAAAUUUUAUAAAUGCAUGUUUUUUCUCCUUUCCAGUUAUCAAUCUGUUGCUUGGGGUUUUAAAUUUCUGUGCAUAAUGUGUAAAAGGACUAGAGAUAGCAAAAGAAAUCAGAUGAUGCAAGAAGCUCAUAGUUUUGCCAUUUCAAAUGGUAUAGAAAUCUCAUAUGAAAGUGUUUGUCUUGCUGAUGAUAAACAUAAAACCAGAGAAGAAAAUGUGUCAGAUUCUGACAAUUUACCAAGUAUCGGUUUGAAGAAGAAAAAAGCCCUGGGCAGUUCCAAAAUUGCCUCUCCUACUUCCACAUCCUUUUCAAUUCAUUCAUCUCAUUAACGUACACAUUACAUACAUAAUAUUUCAUUGUUCACAGCUUAGUUCCCCACUCAAUUUCUCUAUAUUAAGUCGUAGUUAAUUGCAUUGAAUUUGGGCAAAGUUUCCUUUCUCAUAAUUGUCUUCAAUUAUGAUUCAAUUUUAAAGAAAAUUUAUCAACUCUCUUUUAAAAUAUGAUUUUUCUCAAACGUCUGUUAGAAUGCAAUUUGGUUUCAUUCCUUUGAGCCAACGUGUUUGAUUUUAAAGCAUUUGCCUUGCAUAAAUUUUUGUGGUUUACACAAGUGAUGUACAUAUAUUUCAAUUCUCCCUGAUUCUAAUAUUUUAGUCACUUGAAAUUUUUGUUCAUAUUAAGAAACUUCCCUGUUUUUAGAAGUUGGGGUAUGGAUAUUUGAUAACUUCAAUAAAUAUAUAAAUUUAUUUACUCUUUUUAAUUAAUUAUUAAAAUUUUAUUUUUUUCGUAUUUUUUUUGGAGCUCCCAUAUGAACUGACUCUCAAUUACAUUUUUCAAAUUUGAAACAUCGUUAUUAAAUGUUUAAAUGUAAUUAACAAAACUAUAACCUAUAGCAUCUUAUCUCUACCUUUAUUCUACUUCUAUAACAUAUAGCUGUUUAUACAUCAUUGCUACUUCUGUAGCUUACUUCUCCCCUAGAUUAUCUUACUUCUAUAACAAAUUUGCUCAUUAGGUCACUAGAUCAUCUUAUUUCUGUUUAUAGGUUAUUAGGUAUUUUUAGAUCAUUUAAAUUGUGGUUUGUUUAGUUUUUGUUGUUAGCCUUAAUUCUAUAACAAUAGCCAUUGUCUUUGCUCAAAUUUUCUCAUUUGUCGACACUGACACCUACUGUUUACCAAGUUUAUACCAACAGAGUCAACACCUCUUGAUUUGAUUCUAUUAAAAUUGUCACAAUUGUUUUCAGUUUAUUUUCAAUUGAUUCAAUAAAAUUCACCUUAUACUUUUAUCCAUCAGAUUAAUCGAAUGCUUGAUGUAUAUAAAUUGUUAUUUCUCUGGUUUACUUUUUUAACUUAAUUCUAUCAUAAACAUUAACGCUUGCCAUUUUCCGACUUUAAAACCUCUUGAAUGGAGAAGAAGGAACAUCGGCCAGCUACACAACAAAUGCAGCAACAGAUAGAUGCCCUUGCAAGAAACAUAUAAAUGUUGUAAAAUAUAUGGUGGAGCUCACCACUUGUUGGAUGGAGCUUUACCUACUCCACCACUUGUUGGAUGGAGCUCUGCCUACAAAAGGGGUGAACCCUUCCAUUGUUAAUAUAGACAAAAACACAGAUCAGAUUAGAGAACAGAAACACAAUGAGAUUAGUUUCUCUA